Molecule: long non-coding RNA, 208 nt
Filed under: Zea mays
Lineage: Eukaryota; Viridiplantae; Streptophyta; Magnoliopsida; Poales; Poaceae
Description: drought responsive lncRNA
Source: RNAcentral
GGCGGUGGACCGGAGAUCUCCCUCCGCUCCAGCUCCGAUUGAUGAUCCCCCCACCCAACUUCUUCCGCCAAGUGUUACUCGGGUGUUCCCUCCCCUCCCCUGUGGCCUGAGAGCUGUGCUGCAGAGCCCAAGAGAAGUCGUUGGUGCAGACAGCCUUGGAUUGGAUGUGGAAUGAGGCGAUGGCAUCUGACGGAUCAUCAUCCUCUAC